AAUAUUGUCAUUUUUAACAUUGUGUCCUGGUUCAAGCACCCGACUGUGAGCAUGAUGAAGCUUUCCAACAGCCUAACUGGGUGGUACAAUGAGAGCCUGCAAACUAACACAACUGAGCUGUCAGCACUGCUGUGGAGGUCCAUUUCUGCCCGUUCAAGAAAUAAAAUGAGCUGAUCUCAUAAUAUCCACUUUCCAUCCAUAACAGGUGGAGACAGACCACCAUCAAAGACCGACGGUGUCGUAGGGAGGAAGUGUAUGAAACCGUCAUCAUCAUUAUCAGAACCAUCUCAAUCACCAUCAGCAUUAUUGUGUCCAGGAUCCUGCCGCUUCUGCUCUGUCCCCGCCGGCAGCUGCUCACAGGCUCGAGGCUGACCUCAGCGGAGUCCCGUGAAAGGUGCACUGCUGCCGACCUUUAACGGGACUCCAACGGUGGGCGGUGGGCCAAGUUAGACAUGUGUUCCAGGGGGAUGGGGAUGCAGAAGGAGGUUCCCAGGCUCUCCACGCAUGAGUCCCAGCAUGCCGAGCAGAGGAAAUUACCAGGUUCAUUUCUACACAGAAUGAUUGAAGAGAGCUGUUAAAUGAUGCUACUGCUACUGUCUGAGUCCUGCAUGGUGGAGAUGAUGCACAUGAUUGCCACCCACCAUAAAACAAAGUAUUCUUCUUUUAGACAUCUUCACAGUCAUGGUUACAGCCUCUCGCUCUGUCACCAUACAUUUGAAUUUUGAGUGUAAUUCUUUUGGCAACAGAAACCAAAAAUCAAAAUGAUGCCAAAAUGUAAGAAUUUUCUUUAAUAAUUAUAAAAAAUAAAAAAAUCUGCACUUAAUAUGAUUAUAUUUCUGUUGUGAAGUCUUAAGGUCAUGAUAAGUGUAUGGUGAGUGUGACAUCACGACAGCCCUCUAGACACCUUGGACACGAGCAGCUGAACAAGAACUCACAAGAACCUCACUGUUACGGGCCAAAUAAGGAUUUCAAUCAGUAAAUGUGCAUCCUUGUGCUCUACAACAGUGUAGCCUAGCUCAAAAUACACAUGUACAGACUGAUAAUGCACUUGACAUCAUGAUCGAUCGGAGGAAGUCAGCUCUGCAGCGUCCACGCUCGCAAAUUUAACUCAUAGUUCUGACAUUUUCCCACAUUCUUUUAGAAUAACAAUUGAAACACCUCUCCCAAACAGCAUCAUUACUCAACACAUUUUCUUUUCAUUUUUAUACUCUAAAUGUACUAAAGAGAACUUUUAUCUGCUUAUGAAAAAGUGUCAAUCAAUACUGACCAUCAGGGAGAAGGUUGGCUAGUUCUGCCUAAUUAAUGCCUGUCAUCGGGUUGGAUUCUGACUCUUUUGUCCAAAGGAGCCACCAGAAUCAUCAAAACAUUCAUGUUCUCGGCAGCAGUCCUCAGUGUUCUACUCUCCUGAUUUACAAAAACAUAUGACACUUUGAAGAUACUCUUGAUUUUAAUUCAUUCAGUAGCCUCAUUCUCUAGGCAGGCAUCAAAAUUACAUCACUGUUUCUUACCAAAGACUUUGACUGCAGCAGUAUGACCAGAAGAACACAACACAACUCAUCCCUCAACUCGGCCCUGUAGGAGGAUUUUUACUGUCACCAUCACCAUCAGAGCCGAGCUCACAAUAAAACACAAGUACCACUUCUUCAUUGAACAUUUCCUUUAUUGAAGUAAUCAUCCUGCUAAAAAGCUGAAGGUGGGUGAGCAAUAAGGAAAAGUGUCAGUUACCGAGGGGUUGUGGUGCCUUGCUCAGAAGCAGAGUGGGGCAGGCUGGAGGGUGCAGGGUAGAGGCUGGGCCCAGCUGACCGAUGCCCUUUCAUUAUUGCACUGCUUGCUGCAGCUCCAACAGUAGUGCAACAGGGAAAGAGUGUCAAGCAGAGAGCGUCCUGGAGAUGUCGUCCGCAGACACACAGUCAGUGUCUUCAACUUGUUCAGUCUUUAACCAGCACUUCUCUGACUGUCCCUGCUCCGCUCAGUGUGUGCUAAUUCUGAGGAGUCACUCUACAAUUCAUUGCACUAUACUUUGAAAGACUUUAGGCAGGACCAAAAGAAUAUAUAUAUGAUAACAUGGUGUCAUGACAUUUGAUUAAAUGUACUGUUCGCAUGCUAUGACCACUGUAUUUUUACCAGUAAGAAAACAAUGUUUUCUCAAUUGUGAAAAUGCAAAUUCAUUCGAAACUCAAUUCAUAUUAGUAUUAUACCUUUUUAUGUAGUCAUUUUUCAGAAAGCAAACUAAUUGAUCAAAAGUCAUGAGGGUGCUUACUUUGCUUUUCCUUUAUUUUAAUAAUUGUAUAAUUCCUUAAUAGUAUCAUGUUUAACACCACUGCCUCCAAACCUGGAAAGUGACACUUAACAGGGCCAUUCCUAGUCUCCCCCAUCAGUCAGGCUGAUCAGGCCGGUAAAGUGCUCAACACAUGCACAGGCUCAUCAUUUCAUAUUCAGGCUUGUUGAGGUGAAACGUUAAACAGUAUUCUCAGACAGUCAAAGAAUUUUAAAUCAGUUAAUAUUAAAGCUACAACUGAAGAUUUCAUUAAUAAUGUUAGGACUUGUUGUUCUACUACAGGGGUGUCCAAACUUUUCCCUUCUGUGGGACAAAACUGAAAAAAAAUGGAGAAUAAGUUCCCUGCACAUAUUAACAUAUUGUUUUACUUAGACAAAGUCUCUCUCUCUCUCUCUCUCUCUGUCUCUCUGUCUCUCUCUCUCUCUCUCUCUCUCUGUCUCUCUCUCUCUCUCUCUCUGUCUCUCUCUCUCUCUCUCUCUCUGUCUCUCUCUCUCUAGUACUAACAUUAAUUGGAUGGACACACAAAAGCCUGGACAUUUCCCUCACAGCAGAUGUUAAACUCUGUCACAUAGUAUCACACUGUAUACUGAAUGUCAGUAGUGUCUGUGUGACAUCGGCUGCAUAACACACCAGAGGAGGAAGAUCAUCCCUCAGAGCCAAGACCCUAUAAGCAAUAUUGCACUACUGUAUCAACUCUAGUAAAAGCAGAGGCAACAUUGAUAGGGUCUAGUCUGCGAGGUGAUGUAGACGAGACAGACAUCAGAGAAGAGACCACAGGUUACCACAGUAGACACAGUUGGGAGGAAGUGAAUAUCAGCUGCCCAGUAUUCUUUACAAAGAUAGUUGGUAAUGGUAAUGUUGUGAAAUAACUUAUCAUUGACUGCUAGAUCAGUAAAACAGUACUCACACAACAGUCAUUUUGUACAUUUGGUAGCCACACCAAAGCCAUGUAGCCAGAGUUAUAUGAGGUUAGUAUUAAAACCACUCAAAAACCACUCUUGUUGGACAUGUUGGACAGUGCAUGCAUUUGCACUUUAUGUUCUAUUACUGGCUGCGGAAAUCUUGUACAGAACUAUAGGUGUGCUUCUGUGUUUGCACACCAUAUUCUAUACUGCCUGCUAUCUAUCUAUCUAUCUAUCUAUCUAUCUAUCUAUCUAUCUAUCUAUCUAUCUAUCUAUCUAUCUAUGGACCACAAGUCUCCAUAUUUCCAUUUAUCAGGGUUGAGGAAAUAGUUGGGUUAUAAUAAACGGAAAGGCCUUCUGGGUAACCUCUUUUAUCUGUCAGUAGCAGAAACCCUGACCCUCAUUAAAAACAAAAACUUUGGAGACGAAAGCCAUAACAAAUUCUACCCUCUUUUUCCCCCUUUUGCUCUUUUAAAAAUGGUCAGAGGCCUUGGCACAUGUCUUAGACCUGCUGUAAGCACACAAGCAGCUCACUAUGAGGUGAAAAAAACCACUUCUUUAUGACUUAUGCUUAUGCUGCAGGUUACAGUCACAAACAUUGAACAUGUUCAAUUUAAUUUGCCUUAUAUUUGUCUUAUUCAACAAUUUAGUGAAGUAAAGCCUUGUUUCACCUCGAGUGACUCUUUUUAGCAGAAUGAAUUCAUAUAGAACAAUCACCUCAACAUUCUGUCAGGAGUGUGACUUUUCAUCGUUCGGUGUGUUAUUUUUACAGCUAUGAGAUGAUGUUAGGUCUACAGAGGGGUUCACAGAUGAACUUUCAUUCUGUUUACAAUUGGAAUUAUCAUGCCACUUGGAGCCUGUUAGCGUACAGAUCAGGGCUGCAACCAUCUACAGUAUUUAUUAUUUAUUAAUCCACCAUUUUUUCUUUCAAUUAAUCAAUUGUUCAAUAGAAUCUCUGAAAAUAGCACGAAAAGUCCCAAGUUCCCAGACAUGACAGCUACAUCUGCAAAUGUCUUCUUUGUCUGAUCAACAGUCCAAAACACACACACACAUAUAUAUCACAGAUAACACAUAUUCCAUUUACAACAACAGAGUUUGGCCAUUUUUGCUUAAGAAAUUUGAAAAAUAACUUAACAUGAAAUACUAUGAAUCAUUUCUUGUUCAGCUAAUCAAGCGCUCAACUAAAGCUGUGCUUAGAUGGCAGGCCAAUCAGAAGUGUGCCAACCUUUCUGCAUGUGUUAACAAUGUAGGGUGUCGGAAAGUAAUGCACACUGUUGAUGCAGCUUUACAGCAUGGAAGCAUGAAAAAUAGAGAUCUAUAAUCUUGUGGUUCCACACAAACGCACAGUCCGGUGGCUUUGAAGAACUCCAUCACACCACACCGCUUGAAAUACAUAUUGUUCAUCUAACCAUCCAUCUUGAUCUUAAACAUUUAACAGCUACCCUAUACCCUCUAACCUAACCUGCAACAUCAAGAUCAAUCAUAGAGUUUGCUUUGAUAGGAGGAGCAAAUCAUGUUCAUCAAAUGAUGACUUGACUUCCCUACACCACUGAUGUUAUGCUUUUGGCAGUUGCUCUCAUACACUUACAUUAGGCGUAUGACUUUUUGGCAAUCUCACAAUUUGAUCAGAUUUUGUGUCCAAUCUGAACCAAAAUCACUUUUCGAUUCAAAAAAAUUGUUGAUUCAAAAUUGAUCGUUGAUUGAAUGCGUGCUUAACCAUUAAUUGGGGUCCUCAAUCUGCUAAAAAACGAGACACUGUCUGCACCAUUUUUUAUCUUGAAAUUUUGAACAUUUUAAAUUAACAGCAAUAAUUAAUGAUUUCAUUUGGGAGCACCUAUGCGUGCAUGUGGACAACAAAAUAAGUGUGAUCUACUGUCUUAUUAUUGUUGUUAGUCUGCUGAGCAUAAGACGCGCUUUUGAGUUAAAAACAGACCGAGGUAUUGUCUUCACCACAGAGUUUGUUCAAUGUAAUGGAUACUGCGAUGUCUUUUUGUUAGCUUGUUAGCAGUUGUCAGCUGAUCUUGUGUGUAACUGCUGACCGUCGCUCCACUCCAAUAACAUUAUGUUGAACCACUCAGUACGGUAUUAAAAGGUGUUCACAACCACAUGGCCUGCUCAAUGUCGUCAUUAAACUUUAGCAAAUAGAUUUGACAUUUGUAAAUAGAUUCAGACAUUUUUUGACACAGCCCUAAAUUAUAGCAGGACGAAGAUAUGAUUUAUUGUCAUCACUGCAUGUCUUGAUGCAAAAGAGACUUUGAAAUCCAGAGUGUCUAGUCUGAGACGUAUCAAAAAACCACCUCCAAAUGUACCUUCGAUCCUGUUCACACAAAUUGUUUUUGCUGUCCAGAUUUCAGUCUUAUUCUGGAUAGCCCCCAACCCCCUCUGUACAUGAUGUGUCACACAUAGCACCUGGAGGCUCUCUGAGUGAUAAGAUCACAAGGUUCAGGUGUGUUUAUACCUGGAUCUACAUAUUGCUGAACAUGACCACUGUGGAGACACGUUAAUGGCAGCU
Acanthopagrus latus (yellowfin seabream) is the source of this 5692-nucleotide long non-coding RNA. RefSeq lists it as uncharacterized. NCBI's taxonomy places the organism in Eukaryota, Metazoa, Chordata, Actinopteri, Spariformes, Sparidae. The record is from RefSeq and is a predicted model, not a curated record. The transcript has 6 exons.